Molecule: ribosomal RNA, 450 nt
Filed under: uncultured bacterium
Lineage: Bacteria
Description: bacterial SSU rRNA
Rfam family: Bacterial small subunit ribosomal RNA
Source: RNAcentral
GUGGGGAAUAUUGGACAAUGGGCGAAAGCCUGAUCCAGCCAUGCCGCGUGUGUGAAGAAGGUCUUCGGAUUGUAAAGCACUUUAAGUUGGGAGGAAGGGCAGUAAGUUAAUACCUUGCUGUUUUGACGUUACCGACAGAAUAAGCCCCGGCUAACUUCGUGCCAGCAGCCGCGGUAAUACGAAGGGGGCUAGCGUUGCUCGGAUUUACUGGGCGUAAAGCGCGCGUAGGUGGUUUUGUAAGUUGGAGGUGAAAUCCCCGGGCUCAACCUGGGAACUGCCUCCAAAACUGCAUGACUAGAGUACGGUAGAGGGUAGUGGAAUUUCCUGUGUAGCGGUGAAAUGCGUAGAUAUAGGAAGGAACACCAGUGGCGAAGGCGAAUAACUGGACUGAUACUGACACUGAGGUGCGAAAGCGUGGAGAGCAAACAGGAUUAGAUACCCCGGUAGUCC